UACUUUUAAUUGUAUUUGCUUCUUACACAUGUAACGUUAAAGUGCCUAUGACACGAAAUUUCACCCCAAAUGUUUAUGAUUGCAUUGUAAAGAUCACUUGAAAUGACUUAAUAAUCUCUUUUAUAGAAUUUUGGUAACUUGCUUCCUUUGCAAGAUAUUCAACUUUGUUUCAUGUGCAAAUAUCACCAGUGUGACAUCACAUCGCAUAAUGACAUUUUGAAAACACAAUAUUUUACCUUGAUCAAAUAUUUUUGCAAACAAAUACAGAGGGUUAAUUACCAGUUAUGAAAUUAAUACAUAUACAAGGGCAAUUUUUAAGUUUUUUAGAUACGUAUUCGUCAAGAAAACUAUACUUUUCUGAAAACUCAUUAUGUGAUGUGAUGUCACACCGGUGAUAUUUGCAUAUGAAACAAAGUUGAAUAUCUUGAAAAGGGAGCAAGUUAUCAAAAUUCUAUAAAAGAAAUUAUUAAGUCAUUUUAAGUGAUCUUCACAAUGCAACCAUAAACCUUUGGGGUGAAAUUCGUGUCAUAGGCACUUUAAAUAUAUAUAUAUAUUUUAAUUAUUUACAAGAGAGUAUAUAGACUGCCAUUGAGCAUUGCCAUUGGCAAUGAAUGACGUACAACAACAUGCGUACAUAGACAAAUUUGGCUAAUGUUUGUUUAUAUACCAAAUUUACUUUAUACCAAAUUCACAACUUUAGAUUACUCAUAUGCCUAGUUACUAUUGUUUUAGUUUACAGAAGCCAGGGACUAUUGUUUUUGUUUACAGACCCGUACCGGGUUUUAUAUUUUCAGCUCAGCCUUCAGAACCUGGUCUUUAGUCGAAAACAAAAACCGACCGAGAACAAUAGAAAAUGGGUGUGGUAUAGGUUUAUAACUAUUGUUUCUAAUGCGGACGUUUGAAGCAGGCCUAAUGCUCAGUUACCUUGUUCUAGUUUGUUUUGUUGUUUUUAUAUAAACUUUAUUAAGCUGAUUCUGUAACUCUAGAACAAUAGUAACUAGGCAUGUCGUUAUCUAAUGUUGUGAAUUGUGUAGCAACAAUGUAAACAACGUACAUAACGUACGUUAGCCAAUUCAAAUUUGGCUAUUCUGCGUACAGCACUCGAACAGGUGUGUUGAAGUUAGCCUCACCAGGGCAGCAGAUGGUGUCUGGCAGUCUGUUUCUCAUGCUGAAACUCAUGAUCAUAGGCGUACGGGGCGGGGGGGCGGGGGGGCGGUAGCCCCCCAGUUUUUUGGGCAGUUGGGCAAUAUCCCAGUUUUUUGGGCAGUCGGGCAAUAUUCGAUCAACAGUCGGGCAAUUUUGGUUUGCAAUUAAAAAAAAUGGGACAAAUUAUGUCAAUUUUGUCUAAAAUUAAGUAAAUUUUUUGGCAAAUUUUG
This is a non-coding RNA of Paramuricea clavata, 1376 nucleotides long. The record is from the annotation of a GenBank genome assembly. Lineage: Eukaryota; Metazoa; Cnidaria; Anthozoa; Malacalcyonacea; Plexauridae.